UGUAAGCGUAUACCAAAGUUGUUGCAGUUAAAACGCUCGUAGUCGGACUUUGGCAGUUCCGGAUGUGUGCACGUCGUGUGCGCACUUCGCGGGGAUUGCUUUUGUGGUCUUGCGUAGGAUGAGGCACUUUUAUUAGUGAACGUCCUCACGCAACCACUUUUUACUGUGAGAAAAUCAGAGUGCUCAAAGCAGGCAUUUGCCGUGAAUGUAUUAGCACGGAAUAAUAGAAUAGGACUUGGUUCUAUUUUGUUGGUUUGUUGGGACUGAGUAAUGAUUAAGAGGGACAGUUGGGGGCAUUUGUAUUUCGGUGCUAGAGGUGAAAUUCUUAGAUUACCGAAAGACAAACUGCUGCGAAAGCGUCUGCCAAGGAUGUUUUCAUUGA
Molecule: ribosomal RNA, 382 nt
Filed under: uncultured eukaryote
Lineage: Eukaryota
Description: partial 18S ribosomal RNA
Rfam family: Eukaryotic small subunit ribosomal RNA
Source: RNAcentral